This 682-nucleotide unclassified non-coding RNA is filed under the name uncultured Prochlorococcus sp. Its description in RNAcentral is "partial may contain 16S ribosomal RNA, 16S-23S ribosomal RNA intergenic spacer, and 23S ribosomal RNA". The stretch from base 1 to 96 matches the Rfam family "Bacterial small subunit ribosomal RNA", at positions 1438 to 1533 of the family's 1533-position model. Lineage: Bacteria; Bacillati; Cyanobacteriota; Cyanophyceae; Synechococcales; Prochlorococcaceae. The record is from RNAcentral.
CCCUUGUGGAGGAGGACGCCGAAGGUGGGGCUAAUGACUGGGGUGAAGUCGUAACAAGGUAGCCGUACCGGAAGGUGCGGCUGGAUCACCUCCUAACAGGGAGACAACAAAAUGUUUAAUAUUAUUAUUUUGUCACCUUAGGUCGAUCGGUAUCUCACAUCCUUAAUUUAUUAGGGAUUUCAUUUUCCUAAGUUUUUCUAGGUCACACCCAUUAUUUUUCCUGGGCCAUUAGCUCAGGUGGUUAGAGCGCACCCCUGAUAAGGGUGAGGUCCCUGGUUCAAGUCCAGGAUGGCCCAUAUCUCUAUGUUGGGGGUAUAGCUCAGUUGGUAGAGCGCCUGCUUUGCAAGCAGGAUGUCAGCGGUUCGAGUCCGCUUACCUCCACUGAUUACCACCUCUUCCAUAUUUUGAAGAAAGGAAAUUAUUGAGUAGUGAUCAAUUCUGAACGAAUCUAGCUUCCUAAUGAAACAAUUAAGAUGCUGGACUCAUUGAAUCUAAUUCAUUGUUUUCAGAGAACCUUGACAACUGCAUAGAUUAUUUUUUUAAAGACAAUAAGCAUCUUUAUUGAUGCAGAUUUAUUAUUUGUGCGAAUGCAUUAAUAACAAUUCUAUUAAGCUGAUGCUUCAAUUUUUGAAGUUAUUGGUCAAGCUACAAAGGGCUCACGGAGGAUACCUAGGCACACAGA